RNAcentral lists this ribosomal RNA (504 nucleotides) under uncultured bacterium. RNAcentral describes it as "partial 16S ribosomal RNA". It matches the Rfam family "Bacterial small subunit ribosomal RNA", at positions 29 to 523 of the family's 1533-position model. The record is from RNAcentral.
AUUGAACGCUGGCGGCAGGCCUAACACAUGCAAGUCGAACGGUAGCACAGAGAGCUUGCUCUCGGGUGACGAGUGGCGGACGGGUGAGUAACGUCUGGGAAACUGCCCGAUGGAGGGGGAUAACUACUGGAAACGGUAGCUAAUACCGCAUAACGUCGCAAGACCAAAGUGGGGGACCUUCGGGCCUCACACCAUCGGAUGUGCCCAGAUGGGAUUAGCUAGUAGGUGGGGUAAUGGCUCACCUAGGCGACGAUCCCUAGCUGGUCUGAGAGGAUGACCAGGCACACUGGAACGGAGACAAGGUCCAGACGCCUAGGGGAGGCAGCAGUGGGGAAUAUUGCAAAAUGGGCGCAAGCCUGAUGCAGCCAUGCCGCGUGUAUGAAGAAGGCCUUCGGGUUGUAAAGUACUUUCAGCGGGGAGGAAGGCGGUGAAGUUAAUAGCUUCACCGAUUGACGUUACCCGCAGAAGAAGCACCGGCUAACUCCGUGCCAGCCGCCGCAGUAA